Parus major (Great Tit) is the source of this 1273-nucleotide long non-coding RNA. RefSeq lists it as uncharacterized. The record is from RefSeq and is a predicted model, not a curated record. The transcript has 4 exons. NCBI's taxonomy places the organism in Eukaryota, Metazoa, Chordata, Aves, Passeriformes, Paridae.
AUGGUUUGUACAUAUCUGCUCUGCAGUCAUUGCACUUCCAGAAGUCAGGAGUCUUGUUGCCAUGAUAUACAGAUCAGUGGAUGCACCAAAACCUUCUGAAGUACCAGGCUGUGAUUUGUGACCAUUUGCAUUUUUGCUGACAGGUACUAAGGAAGUUGUUUGAGUCCAAUAGCUGUGGACAGAAGUUCAACAAGAGGCCAACAUUUUGCUCUGCCUCAGUGGAAAAACCCAGGUCCACUCAACACUGAUUGCAUUACAAGUGACUUUCUACAAGGGUUACACUCUGAAAAAUUAUAUUUCCUUGAUGUCCAUGGAGCAAUUGCAGAUGCUCUUCAAGCACCUUGAGAAGAUAAGCUGCUGUCACAGUGCUUUACUUCCAGCUUCUAUUGUCUUCUAAGGAAGCAGAGAUUUUCAGGGAAGACUACGGGACUUGGGUCUGCCAUUGUGUUUCUGCAGGGUGAUAGCACUGCUUGCCUGCUUGCUGCACUGCUGUAGCAGGAAGAUGUCAUGCUGAGAGGAAACACAGCUGAUUCUAAAGACAGAGCGGCACAGUGGACUUCCAUGGACAUUAAAAUGCUGGUCACUACAAGAAUCUGCUACAUGGCUCGUACUGAUGCUCUUGCAUUAGCUUUUCAAAGAGCAGCAAUCCUGAAACAUGUCUGCAAUCACACCGGGGUGCCAGAAAACCUUAGGGUCAUUGUUAAGGCAUGAGUUCUGGUAUCUGCAAACAGGGCUUCCAGGAUCAAGAAUUUUUAUAGGUAUAACUAGUUAUGAUGUAAGAGACAAAAAUACACACAGAAACACAAAUAAUAUCAAAUUUCUCUAAAUAAAUUAUUAGUAAGGAAAUUAAAUAUUAUGUUUUUAAAACGAGGGAUGGAAAGAAUUAUUGCUGGGACGGCGAGCAAGUAGCAGAGUUGUAAUUACUCAGCUUUCAUCUUCAUCUCGACUGAGGGUCAAUGGAAUAAAUGCGGUUCCCCGCCGCCACCGGGGGGCGAUGCUCUCCCAAGUACUUCGAGAAAGAGACACAAAUAACACAUUCCGGGCUGUCCCGGUGAAAUGUUAGCAUAGGUCUGCUUAAAGAGGUUUCUACAAGUACAUUUUAAAAGGUAAGAAUAUUUUGGCAGCUAACUUUUAAUCACGUUCCUAGAAUUCUUGAAUCUUUGACUUAAUUCAGUUUAAAAAUUAAUUUAGAAAUGACUGUGUCUUAAGGAACUGGAAUGUUUAAUGUAUUCUCCUUGAUUUAAGUUAAUAAAGAUUAUUAUUAAAUAUCUUA